This 253-nucleotide ribosomal RNA is filed under the name uncultured bacterium. Its description in RNAcentral is "partial 16S ribosomal RNA". It matches the Rfam family "Bacterial small subunit ribosomal RNA", at positions 524 to 776 of the family's 1533-position model. The record is from RNAcentral.
UACGGAGGGUGCGAGCGUUAUCCGGAAUUACUGGGCGUAAAGCGCAUGUAGGCGGCCAAGCAGGUCGGAUGUGAAAUCCCUCGGCUCAACCAAGGAAGUGCAUUCGAAACCGCAUGGCUGGAGUCCCGGAGAGGGUAGUGGAAUUCUCGGUGUAGAGGUGAAAUUCGUAGAUAUCGAGAGGAACACCGGCGGCGAAAGCGGCUACCUGGACGAGGACUGACGCUGAGAUGCGAAAGCGUGGGGAGCAAACAGG